Molecule: ribosomal RNA, 527 nt
Filed under: uncultured Glomeromycotina
Lineage: Eukaryota; Fungi; Glomeromycota
Description: SSU rRNA
Rfam family: Eukaryotic small subunit ribosomal RNA
Source: RNAcentral
CAGCCGCGGUAAUUCCAGCUCCAAUAGCGUAUAUUAAAGUUGUUGCAGUUAAAAAGCUCGUAGUUGAAUUUCGGGGUCAGUAGGUUGGUCGUGCCACCGGUACGUACUGGUCUCACUGAUUCCUCCUUCCUGAAGAACCGUAAUGCCAUUAAUUUGGUGUUGCGGGGAAUCUGGACUGUUACUUUGAAAAAAUUAGAGUGUUUAAAGCAGGCUAACGCUUGAAUACAUUAGCAUGGAAUAAUAGAAUAGGACGUGUGGUUCUAUUUUGUUGGUUUCUAGGACCGCCGUAAUGAUUAAUAGGGAUAGUUGGGGGCAUUAGUAUUCAAUUGUCAGAGGUGAAAUUCUUGGAUUUAUUGAAGACUAACUACUGCGAAAGCAUUUGCCAAGGAUGUUUUCAUUAAUCAAGAACGAAAGUUAGGGAUCGAAGACGAUCAGAUACCGUCGUAGUCUUAACCAUAAACUAUGCCGACUAGGGGAUCGGAUGAUGUUAAUUUUUAUAAUGACUCAUUCGGCGCCUUACGGGAAAC